This 448-nucleotide long non-coding RNA is filed under the name Mus spicilegus (steppe mouse). Its description in RNAcentral is "lncRNA (ENSMSIG00000020670.1)". The record is from RNAcentral. Lineage: Eukaryota; Metazoa; Chordata; Mammalia; Rodentia; Muridae.
UAACAACCGUGUUCAUUGCUGUUUCCUCAUGUCACAUGUGCAGAUCAAAACAGGUAGGCGUUAAAAGUUGCAGCAUGAAGCAGAACAGAUUGCUGAUGGGUAACUGACAUAUGACUGACUAAAUGGAUCAAGGCUUACAAAACUGCUUUGACAAGCCGGGCAUCAAACUGACAGCUCAUUGGAAAGGCAUGCCUCGUCACAAGCCUGAAGAGACACAGAAUGACAGUUCACAGGCUCAAGUACAAGAUGGCCUCUCAAUCUUCUUCAGCUGGCUAGGAUCUUGGCUAAUGCAGGGCCUCGGAUGCCAGACAGCAAAGGGCCUGGAGGAACAAGCGUGGUCCCAGCGAGCUCUUUAUGAAAGAAAACAGAAAAUCUAGAUUCGGUGAGAGGUGAAGAGGUAGGAGGUCUGUAAGUAUCUUGUGGCCCUUUACAAUCUGUGAGUUCAGGG